This 640-nucleotide ribosomal RNA is filed under the name uncultured bacterium. Its description in RNAcentral is "bacterial SSU rRNA". It matches the Rfam family "Bacterial small subunit ribosomal RNA", at positions 129 to 784 of the family's 1533-position model. The record is from RNAcentral.
CCCUUAGGAGGGGGACAACAGUUGGAAACGACUGGCUAAUACCCCAUAUGCCGUUUAAGUAAAAUUAAAUUGGUGAAAAGAGUAAUCUGCCUGAAGAAGAGCUCGCGUCUGAUUAGCUAGUUGGUGGGGUAAAGGCCUACCAAGGCGACGAUCAGUAGUUGGUCUGAGAGGAUGAUCAGCCACACUGGGACUGAGAUACGGCCCAGACUCCUACGGGAGGCAGCAGUGGGGAAUUUUCCGCAAUGGGCGAAAGCCUGACGGAGCAAUACCGCGUGAGGGAAGAAGGCCUGUGGGUUGUAAACCUCUUUUCUUAGGGAAGAAUAAAUGACGGUACCUAAGGAAUAAGCAUCGGCUAACUCCGUGCCAGCAGCCGCGGUAAUACGGAGGAUGCAAGCGUUAUCCGGAAUCAUUGGGCGUAAAGAGUUCGUAGGUGGCUAAGCAAGUCUGUUGUUAAAGGCUGGGGCUUAACCCCAAAAAGGCAAUGGAAACUGUUUGGCUCGAGUACGGUAGGGGCAGAGGGAAUUCCUGGUGUAGCGGUGAAAUGCGUAGAUAUCAGGAAGAACACCGAUGGCGAAAGCACUCUGCUGGGCCGUAACUGACACUGAGGAACGAAAGCUAGGGUAGCAAAUGGGAUUAGAUA